This 747-nucleotide ribosomal RNA is filed under the name Pasteurella sp. Melo27. RNAcentral describes it as "bacterial SSU rRNA". It matches the Rfam family "Bacterial small subunit ribosomal RNA", at positions 52 to 786 of the family's 1533-position model. Lineage: Bacteria; Pseudomonadati; Pseudomonadota; Gammaproteobacteria; Pasteurellales; Pasteurellaceae. The record is from RNAcentral.
CACAUGCAAGUCGAACGGUAACGGGAAGGAAGCUUGCUUUCUUUGCYGACGAGUGGCGGACGGGUGAGUAAUGCUUGGGAAUCUGUCUUAKGGAGGGGGAUAACGACGGGAAACUGUCGCUAAUACCGCGUAAUGUCUAAGGACUAAAGGGUGGGACUUUCGGGCCACCUGCCGUAAGAUGAGCCCAAGUGGGAUUAGGUAGUUGGUGAGGUAAGGGCUCACCAAGCCGACGAUCUCUAGCUGGUCUGAGAGGAUGACCAGCCACACUGGAACUGAGACACGGUCCAGACUCCUACGGGAGGCAGCAGUGGGGAAUAUUGCGCAAUGGGGGCAACCCUGACGCAGCCAUGCCGCGUGAAUGAAGAAGGCCUUCGGGUUGUAAAGUUCUUUCGGUGAUGAGGAAGGCGAUUGCUUUAAUAGAGCAGUUGAUUGACGUUAGUCACAGAAGAAGCACCGGCUAACUCCGUGCCAGCAGCCGCGGUAAUACGGAGGGUGCGAGCGUUAAUCGGAAUAACUGGGCGUAAAGGGCACGCAGGCGGACUUUUAAGUGAGGUGUGAAAUCCCCGGGCUUAACCUGGGAAUUGCAUUUCAGACUGGGGGUCUAGAGUACUUUAGGGAGGGGUAGAAUUCCACGUGUAGCGGUGAAAUGCGUAGAGAUGUGGAGGAAUACCGAAGGCGAAGGCAGCCCCUUGGGGAUGUACUGACGCUCAUGUGCGAAAGCGUGGGGAGCAAACAGGAUUAGAUACC